This is a long non-coding RNA of Bubalus bubalis (water buffalo), 6069 nucleotides long. RefSeq lists it as uncharacterized. NCBI's taxonomy places the organism in Eukaryota, Metazoa, Chordata, Mammalia, Artiodactyla, Bovidae. The record is from RefSeq and is a predicted model, not a curated record. The transcript is spliced from 2 exons.
GUGAUGGGACAAGAUGCCAUGAUCUUCGUUUUCUGAAUGUUGAGUUUUAAGCCAACUUUUUCACUCUCUCCUUUUUCACUUUGAUCAAGAGGCUCCAGGUUACACAGAAGGAAAGUACAAGAGUUGAGUGUUAAGAUUUUGGGGACCUAAUCAGUCACCCCCUCAUCCUAAUAAAGUUCUGAACAGAAAGAUCCAAGAGACAGCAGAUGAAGAUUAAAAGUACCACCUUGAAUAUCUAAUGGAUGGGGUGGAAAGUGCACUGUAAAAGCAGGUUAUUAAUGUUUCACCCUUGAAACGAAGAGACCAAACCAUUCUCUCCCAGGUCCAGCCAACAGCAUACCCCAGCUCCUGAAGUCUCCUCUGUAAACUCAGUGGGUGAGCUGAGAAGGUGUGUUCCCAGGGUCAGGUGGAUCCCAAAGUGCUGAGCCAGCCUGUGCUCUGCCCCUCCCUCCAAACUCUCAGGACAUGUUGCCUUAUUGUUCUUUGUCCCUUCCCGUCAUGGCAUGUUCUAGGUAUGCUGCAAAUAUGCUGAGGGAGAUGGCCUGUGGUUUUAACUUUGAUCUAUGGAAACUGACUUUUGAGUCAGCAAAAUCCAGUUUUCCUAUAAAUAAGGAAGCAGGUGACCCAUGAAAACACUGAGCUCCAGGGAGCAGCGUUUGACCUGAGGUGGAGGCAGUCGCCCGUUGACUCCUCCUGUGUUCCUCACAUCCGCAGUCUAGUGCCUGUGGUGGGCAUCACACUUACAACUGAGGCUGGGUCAUCAUCUGUGGUGGCCCGGGUGGGGGCCGGGCAGGGGGAUGGUUCAGAUGGAAGAUAGAACUUCCACAAUCCAAGUUUGCAACAUUAUCCAAGUGCUUAAGAAACGGAAAGAUUAUAGAUUAGCUUUGACAUUUCCCAAAUUCAUUUAGUGUGGGAAAUGAAAUUAAACCAUCAACUAGCUCCUACCUCAAAUCUAAUCUUCCUUAUGAUGGAGAGCAGGUGUCUUCAUGUCAUUUCUCUUUAUCUGCAUCUGCUUCUGGAACAGAGUUGUUGUCCAAGGCUCAGACUGCUCUUCUCUGAAACCACGCCCUCUCCUCCUCACUGCCAAACCCUUCUAAGGGGCUGAAUAUGGUCUUCAGCUGUCGCUCCCCAGCUGUUUUUGUCUUAGGCAUUAGACUUGUUGGGAGAAGGUGUUGAUUGUUGGCCAGAGACUAGAGAAUGCAUUCAUAAGUGGUUUGUUUGUUUGUUUGUUUUUUAAAAAAGGAAGGUGGUGUGAGUCACAGUGGUAGAGGGAGUAAAAGCCACUUUGAUGUGGCAGGUACUGAUUUCACAUUCUGCUACAAGCUAGAGCCUGAUGGUGUUCUGGGCUGCCGCUGCCACCAUGUGAGUCUCAGCUUUGACUGACUUCCACGCAGUCAAAGAUGAACCACAACCACAAUCUCAGAUGUGCAAGAAAUAGUAUCUCAUGACUCUCAACCUAAUUUCUGGCUGUGAACUCCCAUUCCCCUGAAGUGGCAGAAAGCUAAUCCAUUAUUCCUGGGCUAUCCCUCCAUGGGGUUAUACAAAGUAUCAGGUACCCCGGGCAUUAGUACACACAGUUUGCCCUUGAGACGUCCAUCCUCCUAUACUCAUGGCUCCUUCAGGCCCUGCUGGGGAAGCAGGAGUCUUCUGGAAGGCCAUUUAUGGCCCUGUCUGCCUAGAUGUGCCUGUGGGUAGGGUAACCAACCCUCUUGCUUUGCCUGAGAUUGUUCUGAUUUUAGUUCUGAAAGCCCAGGUCUCUGAAACCCCCUCCCGCCCAGCAAACCCAGACCUAGGGAUGGACACUUCAUUUAGAGUCCUGCCACUUCUCCAUGCUCUGUUAAAAAGAAAAAAAGCAGACCUGGACAUGUGUUUGGAACCCACAGAUCUCUCCCUCUCCUUCCCCAGUUCAAGGAGGGGUCUCAUUUUCUAACUGGGGGAUAGAGGAAGACCACGCCCACCUUUUGUUCCCAGACACUGGGGUCAUGUUGGGAACCCCCUUCCUUCACCUUCUUCACUGGUAGGAAAGGUUUAGAGAGCUUAAAUUUUGGAAAUCAAAAGCCAGUAAGAAUUUUGUGCUGAAUGUCUUCUUAGUACCCUACCCUCAGCUCCCUCCUCUCACCUGGGGGAAUGAGGCACAGGUUAAGUCCUGUGGGAAUGAAGCAGACAGAGAGACCAAAAACAAGAAAACAGAUGCAGGAAGAGAAACAGAAGUCACGAGAGCAGAGUGAACCAUCACACACACUGGGGACCACUAGACAGUCCUCCUUCCAUUUAAGGUCUCAUCUCUACCAACAUUUCAGAAAAAUAGGAGAGGAAGUGACUAAGAGCAUUUUGACACAGUUAGCAUUUUUAUCUAGGCAGGGCUAGAAAAUUCCUUCAAGUUUUGUCAAGUGGAUCCAGUCUUUGAAGUUCUUCAAGAAGUUUUGUCUUCUCCCUCCUUUUGUCUUUUCCAGAAGGCCUCAGCUGGCACAGGGGUGGGGCAGGGAGAAGCAUUUGCUAGACUUGCAUUCAUCCAAGGAGUGAGACAGCUGAGGCUGGAUGACUUCAUCAGGAAGCAUCUUGGUGGGGGCAAGAAGGGCCCUCAGGGACUGUUGGCCCUGCCAACAUCUUGCCUCCAUCAAGGCAGCAAUAAAGAAACUUCGUGAGGUCCAAGAACACAAACCUGUCAGCCUGGCUCAGUGCCCGGUGCCCAGCCCUGAGCCCAGCAGAGGCACACCCUCCAUACGUGUCUUUGGAUGGAAGGAUGAGCCCCUGCUUUCUCAGCACCAGCCCUGGUUUGUGCUGCCGUCACACAGUCUAGAGCAUCUGCUAGUAAUUUCAGGGAGACAAUAAAGAAAAAUGCAAGCUUGUAAGAGGUGCCCUCGCUUGUUGGAGCUGCCCUGACAACACCUAGGACUGACUGCAAGGCGAUCUGCUUUCUGAGCAGAAGUGCUAGUGGUUAGAGGAAGCCAGAAUGGAAGAGCAAGUAGUCUUUGGAGCUUCAGGAAGAAGAGAUCUGUUAUUACAGCCAGUGUCUUUAAACAGAUACAUUUUUCUUAUAAGAGAGUUUCCAUUGCAUGCUGGGCCAAGCCAUGCACAGAGCAGUGAUUACCCCCAGCAACCUCUCAAUCGAUUACCAGGCUCUCUGUCAGCAGGCCUCACAGGUCAACUGUUGCUUUGCCCGCCCCACUCCCAUCAACAGCAUGUUCAUGAAGGGACAUGCACCUGACUUAGAAAUUAUUCCCCCCAAAUGUGCAAUAUAUGAAAACAUGUAAACAUUCCCAUUUCUGUCCCCAUCUCCCUCUUGCCAUUUCCUCGGGCCUGAGCUUCAAAUCAGAGAUGUUUGACAUUCUCUUAAGAACCAAUCUUCUUGGGUCUGUGAAAAACAUAGCCAUUUCAGCUCAGACGGUUGCUCAGUCAUGGCUAACUCUUUGCAACCCCAUGGACUAUAGUCUGCCAGGCUCCUCUAUCCAUGGGAUUCUCCAGGCAAGAAUACUGGAGUGGGUUGCCAUUUCCUCCUCCAGGGGAUCUUCCCAACCCAGGGAUCGAACCUGUGUCUUUUGUGUCUCCUGCAUUGGCAGGCAGAUUUGUUACCACUGUGCCACCUAAGAAGCCAUUUAUUGAGUUUUUAUGGUCUGUCAGGCACCCUGGUAAACAUUUACAUACAUGGUCUAAGUUUGUCCUCUCAAGGACACCGUGCAGGUGUUACCGCCACUGUACAAAUGAGGAAGCUGAGGCCAGAGGCUGAAGAGCUUACCCAGGGUGCUAGCUGCUAUGUGGGGAUCCUAUGACUUCAGGUCUGUAGCCCUACUGGCUUCACCGAGCUGCCUGUCAAGGGUAAGAGUAAGGAGGAGGAAAUCAAUGGUCUUCACGCACCAGAGACAGCCAAUCCAUUUAGUCCUCUUUUUAAUAAAGCCUAAAGUCAAAAAGUAGUAAGAGCAUUUCCCAUCCCCUGUAUUUCCCUUUGCACAGAUCCACAACUUUAAUUUUGCCAUAUGGACGCCCAGGCCUGCCUUUGCCUCCCUCUUUUCCACCACCAAUGAUUUCCAGGUCAGAUGAGGUUGACGCGGGGAGAGCCCUCCGAAAGGGCCUGGGGGAGGCAGGCGGCACUCCUGCACAGCCCUGUAUCCAGGGCCUGCUCACCACUCAGCACUGCAUCCUGGUCCUGGCGGGUUCCCUGGAGGGGCGCAGAACUCUGCUAGCAUAUCAGUGGUGGCCAAGUUCGGCAAGAUGCGGUGGCCUGACUAGGCUUUUUCUGGAUAUGGGGAGAGGAGAGGGCAUGACUGUGAAUAUCCGAUUCGUGUCCAUUUUUUAUCACCUCUGCCUGGUCAUUUAGCCUCUUGAGACUUCUGCUUCCUCAUUAGUCAAAUGAGAGGGUUUUCCAGGGUGGCAUCUGGGAUAACCUUUUAAUCCUAACAUUCUACUGAAGGAACAAAGGUACCAAUGAAUUGAAUUUGACUUUGGAUGAAGUAUUAUUUGGAGGCCAUUCUUGGUUUGCAGAAAGCAUCUUCCUUUAUGCAUUCAGUGUGCAUAAAGCCUCACAGAGAGGGCGUUUCAGCUGCAGGCCUCCCCCCACCCCCUACUCCGUGCCCUGCCCGACAGAGUCAGAGCAGCUGGCCCAGAGCUGAGUGUCAGGCAGCAGAGAAAGUGGCUGCGCUGCGUACAUGCCACUCAGUAACUAAGACCGUUACUAUGGAAGAAGCCGUAAAUGUUCAAACUUCUGAUAAAGUCACGGCAAUAACGUAACACACUAAACUCGGGAGGCAGGAAAAAAACGGGGGAGGACUCAUCUUUCACCAUCUGUGCUGCUGAAAUUUAAGCCAUUAAAAAAUAAGCACUCGAACCUCUUAACGUUUUUCACAAUAAUUUUAGAAAGAUUGUUUUUUGUUAGAAACCGAAGUCUUGUGUAUGAAGAUACAUUUGUCUGACAUUCAAAUAGUCCUGCAGUUUCAGUUUCGUUUUGUUGAAGUUGAAUUCACAUUCGUGCUUUCAUUUAACAGUACGUUUAGUUUCCGGUUUUAGGACCCAUGCUUACCUGCCCAUCCAUCCUCUUUUCUGUCUGUCUCCCUGCUGUGUAGCUUUGUGGGGAAACACUGGGGUGAAGUCCACGUGAUAUUAGCAAGGGUUACUUCUGAGGGGAGGGGUCAGGGUAACUUUUUCUUGCUUUCUUGUUUGUCUCUGUGUUGACUGAUUUUCUUUAAAGAUGAGCAUGGAAAUGAUAGAGCCAUUCUUCUAAAUAAGCAAAAGGAAAAUGCAUUUUAAAGGAGCAAACAGGACCACACUGCCUCUGUGUGUGUGUGUGAGUUGCUCAGUCGUGCCCGACUCUUUGCAACCCCACAGGCUGUAGCCUGCCAGGCUCCUCUGUCCAUGGAAUUCUCCAGGCAAGAAUACUAGCACCCGGCUUUACUGGCAGUAUCAGGCCCCAGCCAAGGCAAGUUUCUUCCUCUCCUGCCUCCUGCUCCCAACCCCGAAGGGUCUGGCAGGUUUCCCCACUCCCCAUCUCCCUGGACUUGGGUAACUGGUGAACGGUGAACUCUUGGACGGAUCCGAGCGGCAGAUGCCAGGCCCGAGGCUGUGCCCCUUCUUCCUCAGCAUGUGUUUGUGGUAAAAACGGAGCUGAGAUGAAAGUCACUGGUGAUGGUUCCUGCAAGUCUUACCAGAAAAGACCCCUGGAUAUACCAGGAUGGCUCUGGGCACGGAUUUCACUAUAUUUCUUUCAGUCCCUAGGAAAGUAUGAACACCAGUGUUAUUUAUUCAUCAUCCAGUGUCUCAGAGGGAAACUGUUUACCUUUCUGAAGAGUCAACAGAAGCUCGGGUUCACAGUUCCGCCACCAGAAGAAGGGCCCGCUUGAGUUUCAUAGGCGGACUAAUGGCUGCCCUUCACUGAUGAAGGAUGCGGAGUGCACUGGGCUGGCUUCCGCCUUGAGUUAAGGAGAGAAAAUGUGCUUUCUGUGUAAAAGCUGCAAUUAACAUUCUUGGACAACUCUCAGAGUAAAUCAAAGAAAUAAUUCAACUUUUCUGUUGCCUAAAAUUACACUUUAAUCUCUUUCCUUUCUCUUCAAAAAAUAAGAAUUCUCUGUGGAAUGGGAA